UACGAAGGGGGCUAGCGUUGCUCGGAAUUACUGGGCGUAAAGGGCGCGUAGGCGGAUAGUUUAGUCAGAGGUAAAAGCCCAGGGCUCAACCUUGGAACUGCCUUUGACUACUGGCUAUCUUGAGUACGGGAGAGGUGUGUGGAACUCCGAGUGUAGAGGUGAAAUUCGUAGAUAUUCGGAAGAACACCAGUGGCGAAGGCGACACACUGGCCCGUUACUGACGCUGAGGCGCGAAAGCGUGGGGAGCAAACAGGG
Molecule: ribosomal RNA, 255 nt
Filed under: uncultured bacterium
Lineage: Bacteria
Description: partial 16S ribosomal RNA
Rfam family: Bacterial small subunit ribosomal RNA
Source: RNAcentral